This 253-nucleotide ribosomal RNA is filed under the name uncultured bacterium. RNAcentral describes it as "partial 16S ribosomal RNA". It matches the Rfam family "Bacterial small subunit ribosomal RNA", at positions 524 to 776 of the family's 1533-position model. The record is from RNAcentral.
UACGUAGGGUGCGAGCGUUAAUCGGAAUUACUGGGCGUAAAGCGUGCGCAGGUGGUUCGUUAAGUCUGCUGUGAAAGCCCCGGGCUCAACCUGGGAAUGGCAGUGGAAACUGGCGAGCUUGAGUGUGGCAGAGGGGGGUGGAAUUCCACGUGUAGCAGUGAAAUGCGUAGAGAUGUGGAGGAACACCGAUGGCGAAGGCAGCCCCCUGGGCUGGCACUGACACUCAGGCACGAAAGCGUGGGGAGCAAACAGG